CAUGGUUGUCUAACGGUUGUUGUCCAUUUUAAGAAGGACCACUAUCGCCGUCUGGAAACCCUGUUUGUCUUUGCUGGCGUCGGAAAACCCUUGCUAACGUUAGUUAGCAUCACCGAAUUGAAGAGAUUCUUCGUCAGGUAAAAUCCGGAACACAGCAAGUGUGCAGCAAAGACGCAGGUGAGCCGAAGGACAGGAAAGACGGUCCAGAGGAAGAACGAGUCCCUCAACCCACACGUCGCUUCCUUCAUAAGGGACUUAAUCGAUUAUGAUUGGAAGAACUGAUACCAGGAAGAAGACUUACACCCAUGCAAACAAGUGAGAGACCAGCCCACUACCCUGAUGUGUACGCACAAGAAAUGCUGGCUAUGAUCAGAGCUACCUGAACAGGCAUGCUUUUCUUUUUUAAAAAAAAUCUUUUUCUUACUUAUUUGGCUCUUUUUUACUUGUCUCUUUUGGUUUUAAACAAAGAUUAUUUUACCUGUGUCCUUAAUAUCCACUGAUAGAGGAGUUCCAAGAAGUUUGCACAAUGUUAUGUCCCAAAUGUUCAGUGGACUUUGUGAAGAAUUA
Molecule: long non-coding RNA, 567 nt
Organism: Epinephelus fuscoguttatus (brown-marbled grouper)
Lineage: Eukaryota; Metazoa; Chordata; Actinopteri; Perciformes; Serranidae
Exons: 3
Source: RefSeq, a predicted model, not a curated record